Molecule: long non-coding RNA, 485 nt
Filed under: Gorilla gorilla gorilla (western lowland gorilla)
Lineage: Eukaryota; Metazoa; Chordata; Mammalia; Primates; Hominidae
Description: lncRNA (ENSGGOG00000044620.1)
Source: RNAcentral
CUGACCUGACUGCACUCAGAAACCAAAAUUCUGCAGGUGAAUGUAGGCUCCCAUUUCGUUCCACAAUCAUUUCAUCAUUCAGGCACAGCUUGACCUCUAAUGUGACAUCACAAACGCUUCUGGUCCACAGUUUUUUUUCCUCUUCAGAAACUACCCUAAACAAGGAAGUUUGUGUUCCAAGGUAAGAGAACCUGAAGUGAAAAACUCAGGAUCCUUCACGAACAGCCUGACCCUGCUUUCAACCAGGAAGUUCAAGGGAGGCAGGACUUUACGGUCAAAACUGCAAAGCCGAAGCUCAAGACUGUAAGAAGAAAGUGGUCUUCAAAGAAAAGGAUUCACCCAAAUCGAAGAGGAUAUCGUUUCGCAACAGGGACACUCGUCUCCACACCUCCUACCUCAAAGUCCUGCGCACCUACCCUUCAUGUCUCUCCAAAGCAACUGAAUUAAAGCGCCUACUGGCCUUGGCGGCGCAGGUUUCUCCAUGA